This 252-nucleotide ribosomal RNA is filed under the name Arthrobacter globiformis. RNAcentral describes it as "partial 16S ribosomal RNA". It matches the Rfam family "Bacterial small subunit ribosomal RNA", at positions 556 to 807 of the family's 1533-position model. Lineage: Bacteria; Bacillati; Actinomycetota; Actinomycetes; Micrococcales; Micrococcaceae. The record is from RNAcentral.
GGGCGUAAGAGCUCGUAGGCGGUUUCUCACGUCUGACGUGAAAGUCCCCGGGCUCAACUCCGGAUCUGCGGUGGGUACUGGCAGACUAGAGUGAUGUAGAGGAGACUGGAUUUCCUGGGGUACCGGUGAAAUGCGCAGAUAUGCGGAGGAACACCGAUGGCGAAGGCGAGUCUCUGGGCUUUAACUGACGCUGAGGAGCGAAAGCGUGGGGAGCGAACAGGAUUAGAUACCCUGGUAGUCCAUGCCGUAAAC